RNAcentral lists this ribosomal RNA (1506 nucleotides) under metagenome. RNAcentral's name for it is "bacterial SSU rRNA". It matches the Rfam family "Bacterial small subunit ribosomal RNA". The record is from RNAcentral.
AGAGUUUGAUCAUGGCUCAGGACGAACGCUGGCGGCGUGCCUAAUACAUGCAAGUAGAACGCUGAAGAGAGGAGCUUGCUCUUCUUGGAUGAGUUGCGAACGGGUGAGUAACGCGUAGGUAACCUGCCUUGUAGCGGGGGAUAACUAUUGGAAACGAUAGCUAAUACCGCAUAACAAUGGAUGACACAUGUCAUUUAUUUGAAAGGGGCAAUUGUUCCACUACAAGAUGGACCUGCGUUGUAUUAGCUAGUAGGUGAGGUAAUGGCUCACCUAGGCGACGAUACAUAGCCGACCUGAGAGGGUGAUCGGCCACACUGGGACUGAGACACGGCCCAGACUCCUACGGGAGGCAGCAGUAGGGAAUCUUCGGCAAUGGGGGCAACCCUGACCGAGCAACGCCGCGUGAGUGAAGAAGGUUUUCGGAUCGUAAAGCUCUGUUGUAAGUCAAGAACGGGUGUGAGAGUGGAAAGUUCACACUGUGACGGUAGCUUACCAGAAAGGGACGGCUAACUACGUGCCAGCAGCCGCGGUAAUACGUAGGUCCCGAGCGUUGUCCGGAUUUAUUGGGCGUAAAGCGAGCGCAGGCGGUUUGAUAAGUCUGAAGUUAAAGGCUGUGGCUCAACCAUAGUUCGCUUUGGAAACUGUCAAACUUGAGUGCAGAAGGGGAGAGUGGAAUUCCAUGUGUAGCGGUGAAAUGCGUAGAUAUAUGGAGGAACACCGGUGGCGAAAGCGGCUCUCUGGUCUGUAACUGACGCUGAGGCUCGAAAGCGUGGGGAGCGAACAGGAUUAGAUACCCUGGUAGUCCACGCCGUAAACGAUGAGUGCUAGGUGUUGGAUCCUUUCCGGGAUUCAGUGCCGCAGCUAACGCAUUAAGCACUCCGCCUGGGGAGUACGACCGCAAGGUUGAAACUCAAAGGAAUUGACGGGGGCCCGCACAAGCGGUGGAGCAUGUGGUUUAAUUCGAAGCAACGCGAAGAACCUUACCAGGUCUUGACAUCCCGAUGCUAUUUCUAGAGAUAGAAAGUUACUUCGGUACAUCGGUGACAGGUGGUGCAUGGUUGUCGUCAGCUCGUGUCGUGAGAUGUUGGGUUAAGUCCCGCAACGAGCGCAACCCCUAUUGUUAGUUGCCAUCAUUCAGUUGGGCACUCUAGCGAGACUGCCGGUAAUAAACCGGAGGAAGGUGGGGAUGACGUCAAAUCAUCAUGCCCCUUAUGACCUGGGCUACACACGUGCUACAAUGGUUGGUACAACGAGUUGCGAGUCGGUGACGGCGAGCUGAUCUCUUAAAGCCAAUCUCAGUUCGGAUUGUAGGCUGCAACUCGCCUACAUGAAGUCGGAAUCGCUAGUAAUCGCGGAUCAGCACGCCGCGGUGAAUACGUUCCCGGGCCUUGUACACACCGCCCGUCACACCACGAGAGUUUGUAACACCCGAAGUCGGUGAGGUAACCUUUUGGAGCCAGCCGCCUAAGGUGGGACAGAUGAUUGGGGUGAAGUCGUAACAAGGUA